This 440-nucleotide ribosomal RNA is filed under the name uncultured bacterium. Its description in RNAcentral is "partial 16S ribosomal RNA". It matches the Rfam family "Bacterial small subunit ribosomal RNA", at positions 338 to 795 of the family's 1533-position model. The record is from RNAcentral.
CCUACGGGAGGCAGCAGUGAGGAAUAUUGCACAAUGGGGGAAACCCUGAUGCAGCGACGCCGCGUGAGUGAAGAAGGAAUUCGUUAUGUAAAGCUCUAUCAGCAGGGAAGAAAAUGACGGUACCUGAGUCAGAAGCCACGGCUAACUACGUGCCAGCAGCCGCGGUAAUACGUAGGGGGCAAGCGUUAUCCGGAUUUACUGGGUGUAAAGGGAGCGUAGACGGCAGUUCAAGUCUGGAGUGAAAGGCGGGGGCUCAACCCCCGGACUGCUCUGGAAACUGUACGGCUGGAGUGCAGGAGAGGUAAGUGGAAUUCCUAGUGUAGCGGUGAAAUGCGUAGAUAUUAGGAGGAACACCAGUUGCGAAGGCGGCUUACUGGACUGUAACUGACGUUGAGGCUCGAAAGCGUGGGGAGCAAACAGGAUUAGAUACCCCUGUAGUC